UAAAGACCCUCGAUGCGGGGGCAUCACGCUAAGGCUUGGAGCUGGCGGUGGUACCAGGUGCGUUGCAGGAAUGGAGAGGGAGAUGAAGAAGGAAGGCCGCACCAGAAACGGGAAGGGGCAAUGGCAACAUCAGUUUAUGGCCCAGUUUAUUCUGUGCAAAACCACAGAGCCUGUUUUUUCCUACCCUGGAAGCUGCGAGAGAGAGGGAAACUCCUAUUCGGUCCCUAUGCCAGUGCAAGACUGAUUCCAGCAUGGAGCAUUUAGGGAAGAUUAAAGAGAAAGACAAAGCAGGCAAGAUUCACACCACCUUGGUGUUAGCAUGCAGCCCUGGGCUCUGCGCUUAGCUUCCCGGAGGCCUGACUGCUCCAGCCCCUUCUACCUGCCACGUGUGUUUUGUGCUGGGAGAAGCUGCCAGGAUCAAGAUCAGAUCCCCAUCUUAAGGCCAUGGCGUGCCUUGUGGAGUUAGUUAUUUUUCCUCCCUCUUUCCCCCUUGCCAUCUCUGCCGAGCAGAAGGAUCAUUUUCUGCUGUUAAUUCAAAUCCAGUGGAUGGAAGAAGGACGGAUAAAAGCUGGUUCCACUUCAAGACGGUGGGCUCGAUUGCUACGAUUCGCAUAUAGCAGAGUUCAUCCAAAGCAAUUGUUUUCCCUGCAAAGGUGUGACGUGCAACAGGGAAAUUGCUGUCUUCUCCGAAACGACAACCCUGCCAUGUCACCACGUGGACGGAGCAGCUGUUGGGGAAACAGGACGCGGGGCCCCGUUCUCCGUUCUCUAACAGGCUCCCAAUGGGAUUUCAACUGAUCCUUUCCCCUUUUUAUGCUCCGGCUUUUUCCCCCCCUUCGUAAAACAACGAUGCUGACCCUGCCCUGCUGUCUGCGGCUUCAAAGUGCCAGGAGAGUCACAAAAUGCUUUUUUUUAAAAUGUGUUGGGUAAAACUUGUUUAUUUGUUGAAAAAUGCAGCUGGAGAUGGAGCGAAGCAUUUCACAGAUUCACACUGACAUCAGCAAAUUGCUUUGGUCGGGGAGGGAGGGAAAAAAUCCUAAAAAAGAAGGCAUCGGUAAUUAAAAUGCUUCAAGUUUUCGAAGCGACCCGUUUCAUUUUCCUUACGCAAGAUGACAUUUUGUUUCCGUUAAUCGUCUUUUUGAUGAAAAUAUUAAAAUGGCCCGAAACACUACCAUGUAUCUUUCUGGGCAAAACAUUUUAUGCAACUUGGGGGGAAAAAAAAGGGAGGGGUUUGUGCAAAAAGUUGAGGGAUUUUUCCAAUUCAGCAUACUGAAAAAUCAGCGAUUCAUCAGAUCCGGUCGUGGAUUUUGUUUGGAGUGACCCUAAUUUGGCAAGGUUUGGGGGGGCAGCCCCCAGAGCCGGGCCUGCUUGUGUCGCUGCACGCUCAACGCACUGGCUUUUUUACUCAGACUUGCCAGAGGAAGAAGAAAGGCUUGGCGGCGAGGGGGACUUCGCAGGAUUGGGAGCGGCGAUCCG
Molecule: long non-coding RNA, 1476 nt
Filed under: Crocodylus porosus (Australian saltwater crocodile)
Lineage: Eukaryota; Metazoa; Chordata; Crocodylia; Crocodylidae
Description: lncRNA (ENSCPRG00005011553.1)
Source: RNAcentral